GGAGAGGUGCCCGAGCGGUUUAAGGGACACGCCUGGAAAGCGUGCGUACGGGCAACCGUACCCAGGGUUCAAAUCCCUGCCUCUCCGCCA
Molecule: transfer RNA, 90 nt
Filed under: Fibrobacter sp.
Lineage: Bacteria; Pseudomonadati; Fibrobacterota; Fibrobacteria; Fibrobacterales; Fibrobacteraceae
Description: tRNA-Ser
Rfam family: tRNA
About the family: Transfer RNA (tRNA) molecules are approximately 80 nucleotides in length. Their secondary structure includes four short double-helical elements and three loops (D, anti-codon, and T loops).
Source: RNAcentral